This 792-nucleotide ribosomal RNA is filed under the name uncultured bacterium. RNAcentral's name for it is "bacterial SSU rRNA". It matches the Rfam family "Bacterial small subunit ribosomal RNA", at positions 8 to 796 of the family's 1533-position model. The record is from RNAcentral.
AGAGUUUGAUCCUGGCUCAGGAUGAACGCUAGCGGGAGGCUUAACACAUGCAAGUCGAGCGGGAGGGGUAGCAAUACCCUGAGAGCGGCGCACGGGUGCGUAACGCGUAUGCAACCUGCCUUAUACAAAGGGAUAGCCCAUGGAAACGUGGAUUAAUAUCUUAUAGGACUUAUGAAUCGCAUGGUUUAUAAGUUAAAACUACGGUGGUAUAAGAUGGGCAUGCGUCUGAUUAGGUAGUUGGUAGGGUAACGGCCUACCAAGCCGACGAUCAGUAGGGGUUCUGAGAGGAUUACCCCCCACACUGGUACUGAGACACGGACCAGACUCCUACGGGAGGCAGCAGUGAGGAAUAUUGGUCAAUGGGCGAAACCCUGACGCAGCAACGCCGCGUGAGUGAUGAAGGCUUUCGGGUCGUAAAGCUCUGUCAGAGGGGAAGAAAUGAGACUGGCUAAUAUCCAGUUUUCUUGACGGUACCCUCAAAGGAAGCACCGGCUAACUCCGUGCCAGCAGCCGCGGUAAUACGGAGGGUGCAAGCGUUGUUCGGAUUUAUUGGGCGUAAAGCGCGUGUAGGCGGUUUCUUAAGUCUGAUGUGAAAGCCCUGGGCUCAACCCAGGAAGUGCAUUGGAUACUGGGAGACUUGAAUACGGGAGAGGGUAGUGGAAUUCCUAGUGUAGGAGUGAAAUCCGUAGAUAUUAGGAGGAACACCGGUGGCGAAGGCGGCUACCUGGACCGAUAUUGACGCUGAGACGCGAAAGCGUGGGUAGCAAACAGGAUUAGAUACCCUGGUAGUCC